GGGAUUGGAUCAGUACAAAGUUGAGGAGCCCCAGAGAACCUAACAAGGAGCUAAGAAUGAACAAGAGCAGGAGGGCCUGCUGCUACCUUCUAAUCUUCUGAUCACCAACUGCUUCACACCAUGGUUAACAUGUCAUUGCUCUGCAUCUGGCACAGUGCAAAAUGCAGCAGACCUUCUUGUUUGAGACAGCUACUAAGAAUUUCAAGAUGCCCAGUGGAAGCCUGGUCCUACCACCUGUCCUCUUCUCCAGCCAUGGAGCGGAGGGGAGGGCUGUUCUCACAAUAUGAACCUGCUUGGAGGAAAAUACACAAGGAGAUGUGAUUUCCACAACAGCUACCAACAUGAGGCUGACUGGCACAUUGAUGACUAACUCCUUGCUUGUGUGAAGACCAGUGGUUCAAUGCUCCAGAUUGCAAGGGAACCCAUUGGACAAAUCAGGCUGCCAACAGCAGAAGAAAUUAUAAUAGGCCAUCAGGAAAAGGGGCCCAUCUCCAGGAUAGUCCCAGGUUUGCUAUUCCAAAGAAUCUUCACGAAGAAGAUAGUUACUGCCUGCUUUUACAUAGUUAGGGACCACCCAGUCGGGAGGCUGGGAGACUGCCGGACAACCUCAGAUCAUCCGAGAUUCCUGGUACCUGUGUCUACAAAUGGGCAAGAGUGGAAGGGCUACUGGGAUGGUAUGUAUGUGGUGUGCACACAUGGAGAUGGGGGUAGAGCUUAACCUCAUUCUUUCCUUGACCCCAACACGCAUCAGUGGGAUAACUGCUGCUGCCAGACACCACCCGCCCAGUGACUGCAGGGUAAACGGUCAGCAGAGGAAAUGCAGGUGCCAGAAUGUGCACGAAUUCUGCAAUUUCUAUCUCUAAGGGCAUUUCCCCAUCCUCCCCCCACCCCACCCCCCCUUUCCAGGAUUUCCAAAGUCUCUUGUUUG
This is a long non-coding RNA of Canis lupus familiaris (dog), 928 nucleotides long. RefSeq lists it as uncharacterized. The record is from RefSeq and is a predicted model, not a curated record. The transcript is spliced from 4 exons. Lineage: Eukaryota; Metazoa; Chordata; Mammalia; Carnivora; Canidae.